GUGAUUUGGGAUCUUUUCCAGCCCCACCCUCCGAGAGUAGAGCGGGAUUUGGGUGAUCUGGGACCUUUUCCCGACCCAUCUGGUGUGGAAAGCGGGAUUUGGGACCUUUUCUUGUCCCAGGUGGGGAAUGUGGGAUUUGGGCGAUCUGGGGCCUUUUCCAGCCCCGGCUUGGGUGAGGAAAGCGGGAUUUGGGUGAUUUGGGUCCUUUUCCCGGCCUGGGUGGGGAAAGCGGGAUUUGGGUGAUUUGGGUCCUUUCCCCGACCCGUUUGGUGGAGAGAGCGGGAUUUGGAUGAUUUGGGUGUUUUUCCCGGCCUGGGGAUAGCGGGAUUUGAGUGAUUUGGGAUCUCUUCCUGACCUGUCUAGUGGGGAAAGCGGGAUUUGGGUGAUCUGGGUCCUUUUCCCGCCCCGUCCCGGGACAAAUCCCCCUNCCAGGGGGACACACAGGGACAUGCAUGGGGACACCCAGGGCACCCAUGGAGACAUCCACAGGACACCCAGGGGGACACCCACGGGGCACACAUGGGGCACCCACAGGGAUACCCAUGGGGACAGGAACGAGAUUUUGGAGUCUCAGCCAGGGGGACACACAGAAGACAUCCACAGGACACCCACGGGGACACGCAUGGGACACCCUGGGGACACUCAGGGGGACACCAAGAGCCACCAGCCCUCUCUCCCCCAUGCCCCUCACACCACCCCCUCUCUCCCCCAGUGCUCUUCCUCCUUGUCCUCAUCCUGCUCUUCGGCCUGAUGAUCUGGCUGACCCUGUACCCGCUGGGCUUCCCCAAAUCCCUGCUGAAGCUCCAGCCCAUCGAGGAUUUCAAUUUCAAGCUGCUCCUCUUGGGCAUCGCCGCCCUCAACUUCUUCGCUGCCUUCGUGCUGGAGACCGCCCUGGAUCAUGGUUUGCUCAGCUGCUUCCGAAGGCUGCGCCGGAAAAAAGCCUCCAAGAAGCUUUUCAAGAGGCUGGAGAAGGAGCUGAGCCAGCAGCAGCCAGCCUGGCCACCCCUGGACCAGCCCCUGUUUGCCACACCCAGGAUGUCCCUGGCCGUGAGAUAGCAGUGCCAGCUGUGCCUCUGCCCCAGCCCUCGGACACUUCCUUAAUUUAUUGAUCCCGGAAAAAGCAGGAAUGCAGCAGGCGGGAUCCCUCAGCAUCGCAGAUGGGAAUCCCACAGAGAUCCCGUGGCCACGGUGAUCCCAUG
RNAcentral lists this long non-coding RNA (1199 nucleotides) under Zonotrichia albicollis (white-throated sparrow). RNAcentral describes it as "lncRNA (ENSZALG00000001913.1)". Lineage: Eukaryota; Metazoa; Chordata; Aves; Passeriformes; Passerellidae. The record is from RNAcentral.